Molecule: ribosomal RNA, 481 nt
Filed under: uncultured Sphingobacteriales bacterium
Lineage: Bacteria; Pseudomonadati; Bacteroidota; Sphingobacteriia; Sphingobacteriales
Description: bacterial SSU rRNA
Rfam family: Bacterial small subunit ribosomal RNA
Source: RNAcentral
GCUCAGACACUUAAGAUUGACGGGGCCGCACAAGCGUGGAGCAUGUGGUUUAAUCGAUGAUACGCGAGGAACCUUACCUGGCUCAAAUGUAUGUUGACGUAUUCUGAAAGGGAUACUUCUUCGGACAAUAUACAAGGUGCUGCAUGGUUGUCGUCAGCUCGUGCCGUGAGGUGUCGGGUUAAGUCCCAUAACGAGCGCAACCCCUAUCAUUAGUUGCCAUCAGGUCAAGCUGGGGACUCUAAUGAAACUGCCUACGCAAGUAGUGAGGAAGGUGGGGAUGACGUCAAAUCAGCACGGCCCUUACGUCCAGGGCUACACACGUGCUACAAUGGCCGGUACAAAGGGCAGCUACCUGGUGACAGGAUGCUAAUCUCAAAAGCCGGUCUCAGUUCGGAUCGGAGUCUGCAACCCGACUCCGUGAAGCUGGAAUCGCUAGUAAUCGCGCAUCAGCCAUGGCGCGGUGAAUACGUUCCCGGGCCUU